GCCAUGAUAGCUUAGCAUGGAGAGCGAUAGACUGAAGAUCUAAAGGUUUGCGGUUCGGUCCCGGCUAGUGGUU
Molecule: non-coding RNA, 73 nt
Organism: Ascaris suum (pig roundworm)
Lineage: Eukaryota; Metazoa; Nematoda; Chromadorea; Rhabditida; Ascarididae
Source: Rfam